RNAcentral lists this ribosomal RNA (497 nucleotides) under uncultured bacterium. Its description in RNAcentral is "partial 16S ribosomal RNA". It matches the Rfam family "Bacterial small subunit ribosomal RNA", at positions 28 to 507 of the family's 1533-position model. The record is from RNAcentral.
GAUGAACGCUGGCGGCGUGCCUAAUACAUGCAAGUCGAGCGAACAGACGAGGAGCUUGCUCCUCUGACGUUAGCGGCGGACGGGUGAGUAACACGUGGAUAACCUACCUAUAAGACUGGGAUAACUUCGGGAAACCGGAGCUAAUACCGGAUAAUAUAUUGAACCGCAUGGUUCAAUAGUGAAAGACGGUUUUGCUGUCACUUAUAGAUGGAUCCGCGCCGCAUUAGCUAGUUGGUAAGGUAACGGCUUACCAAGGCAACGAUGCGUAGCCGACCUGAGAGGGUGAUCGGCCACACUGGAACUGAGACACGGUCAAGACUCCUACGGGAGGCAGCAGUAGGGAAUCUUCAGCAAUGGGCGAAAGCCUGACGGAGCAACGCCGAGUGAGUGAUGAAGGUCUUCGGAUCGUAAAACUCUGUUAUUAGGGAAGAACAAAUGUGUAAGUAACUAUGCACGUCUUGACGGUACCGAAUCAGAAAGCCACGGCUAACUACGUG